UUCUUUGUCUUGGUGCGCAGGCUGCGGCGUGCACCCUGCCGAGGAGGUGUGCUGGCGGCGCUCUGAGCCUGUGCGUUUGCGGACGGAGACUUGUGGAAGAAAUGGCAAUAAACGAGCGUGGUUACAGAGGCUUCACUGGAGAGAGUGGCGCCCUCAAGCGCCUUUCCUGAGAACUACACUCAGCAUUUCAGCCUCAAACCACCUGAGCUUUGAAUUGUGCCUGCCACUUUCUCAGGAAGUGAGUGGAGCAUGAAGGAGAAAACCAUGAACCAGGACCUCAGGGAAUCCAAGAAACAGGAUACGCAGCCCAGGAAAGAUGCAAGAGAAAGUGUUGCCGCCACAGCUGCCCAAGCAGGCCUGUAGAGGAAUCAGUCCCAAACGGAGGAGGAGAACAGAGAGCUG
Lontra canadensis (Northern American river otter) is the source of this 402-nucleotide long non-coding RNA. RefSeq lists it as uncharacterized. The transcript is spliced from 3 exons. NCBI's taxonomy places the organism in Eukaryota, Metazoa, Chordata, Mammalia, Carnivora, Mustelidae. The record is from RefSeq and is a predicted model, not a curated record.